GAUGAACGCUGGCGGCGUGCCUAAUACAUGCAAGUCGAGCGAACAGACGAGGAGCUUGCUCCUCUGACGUUAGCGGCGGACGGGUGAGUAACACGUGGAUAACCUACCUAUAAGACUGGGAUAACUUCGGGAAACCGGAGCUAAUACCGGAUAAUAUAUUGAACCGCAUGGUUCAAUAGUGAAAGACGGUUUUGCUGUCACUUAUAGAUGGAUCCGCGCCGCAUUAGCUAGUUGGUAAGGUAACGGCUUACCAAGGCAACGAUGCGUAGCCGACCUGAGAGGGUGGUCGGCCACACUGGAACUGAGACACGGUCCAGACUCCUACGGGAGGCAGCAGUAGGGAAUCUUCCGCAAUGGGCGAAAGCUUGGCGGAACAACGCCGCGUGAGUUAUGAAGGUCUUCGGAUCGUAAAACUCUGUUAUUAGGGAAGAACAAAUGUGUAAGUAACUAUGCACGUCUUGACGGUACCUAAUCAGAAAGCCACGGCUAACUACGUG
This 497-nucleotide ribosomal RNA is filed under the name uncultured bacterium. Its description in RNAcentral is "partial 16S ribosomal RNA". It matches the Rfam family "Bacterial small subunit ribosomal RNA", at positions 28 to 507 of the family's 1533-position model. The record is from RNAcentral.